AAGACUCUACUUUAAGGGAUCAUUUCUUUAGUCUGGAACUAGAGGAUUGUGUUUCUACAGAGGUUGGUCUGGCUGUCCAUGAUGAUGAAUGAAGAUGUUUCCUUCAGAGCAGGAAGCUGGUGAGAAGAUGAGAAUCUUCUUCACUGAUGAAGACUGUUCAGUGUUUCUGGAUGUGACGCUGAUGGAGGAAACAUUGUCUGAGUGGA
This 206-nucleotide small nucleolar RNA is filed under the name Oryzias latipes (Japanese medaka). RNAcentral describes it as "Small nucleolar RNA U3 (ENSORLG00015012821.1)". It matches the Rfam family "Small nucleolar RNA U3". Rfam says of the family: Small nucleolar RNAs (snoRNAs) are involved in the processing and modification of rRNA in the nucleolus. There are two main classes of snoRNAs: the box C/D class, and the box H/ACA class. The record is from RNAcentral. Lineage: Eukaryota; Metazoa; Chordata; Actinopteri; Beloniformes; Adrianichthyidae.